RNAcentral lists this ribosomal RNA (1384 nucleotides) under uncultured bacterium. RNAcentral's name for it is "bacterial SSU rRNA". It matches the Rfam family "Bacterial small subunit ribosomal RNA". The record is from RNAcentral.
AGAGUUUGAUCCUGGCUCAGGAUAAACGCUGGCGGCAUGCCUAACACAUGCAAGUCGAACGGGAUUAAUACGUUCUAGAUUUUCUAGGAUUUAUUAUGAGAGUGGCGGACGGGUGAGUAAGGCGUGGACAACCUGCCCUCCGGAGAGAGACAGCCUCCGGAAACGGGGAUUAAUACCUCAUAAUCCGGCCUCCUGGCAUCAGGGAGCCGGCAAAGCGCUUAGCGCCGGGGGAUGGGUCCGCGUGCCAUUAGCCAGCUGGCGGGGUAAGAGCCCACCAGGGCGACGAUGGCUAGCCGGCCUGAGAGGGUGAACGGCCACAUUGGAACUGAGAGACGGUCCAGACUCCUGCGGGAGGCAGCAGUGGGGAAUAUUGCGCAAUGGAGGAAACUCUGACGCAGCGAUGCCGCGUGGGCGAAGAAGGGCUCCGGCCCGUAAAGCCCUGCCGCCGGGGAAGAGAGAAGACGGUACCCGGCGAGCAAGCCCCAGCCAACUACGUGCCAGCAGCUGCGGUAAUACGUAGGGGGCGAGCGUUAUCCGGAUUGAUUGGGCGUAAAGGGCGCGCAGGCGGUUGUUUAGGCGCGGUGUGAAAGUCCGGGGCUCAACCCCGGCCGGUCAUCGCGGACCGGGCAACUAGAGUGCCGGCGGGGCAGACAGAAUUCCUGGUGUAGCGGUGAAAUGCGCAGGGAUCAGGAGGAAUACCAGAGGCGAAGGCGGUCUGCUAGCCGGAUACUGACGCUCAGGCGCGAAAGCGUGGGGAGCGAACAGGAUUAGAUACCCUGGUAGUCCACGCCGUAAACGAUGAACGCUAGGCUUUGGGAGAUUUUUUUCAGAGCCGCAGCCAACGCAGUAAGCGUUCCGCCUGGGGAGUACGGCCGCAAGGCUGAAACUCAAAGGAAUUGACGGGGACCCGCACAAGCAGCGGAGCAUGUGGUUUAAUUCGAAGCAACGCGAAGAACCUUACCAGGCCUUGACAUAAGGGGGGAGGCCAUAGAGAUAUGGCCGUCUUUAGGGACUCUCUUACAGGUGGUGCAUGGUUGUCGUCAGCUCGUGUCGUGAGAUGUUGGGUUCAGUCCCGCAACGAGCGCAGCCCCUAUCCUCAGUAGCCAGCAUUUAAGGUGGGCACUCUGGGGAGACUGCCAGGGAUAACCUGGAGGAAGGCGGGGAUGACGUCAAAUCAUCAUGCCCCUUAUGAUUUGGGCUACACACGUGCUACAAUGGCGUAAACAAAGGGAAGCGAGAGGGUGACCUGGAGCAAAUCCCAAAAAUAACGUCCCAGUUCGGACUGUAGUCUGCAACCCGACUACACGAAGCUGGAAUCGCUAGUAAUCGCGGAUCAGAAUGCCGCGGUGAAUACGUUCCCGGGUCUUGCACAAACCGCCCGUCA